Molecule: long non-coding RNA, 2263 nt
Organism: Herpailurus yagouaroundi (jaguarundi)
Lineage: Eukaryota; Metazoa; Chordata; Mammalia; Carnivora; Felidae
Exons: 3
Source: RefSeq, a predicted model, not a curated record
CGCCCCUUAUUGACUAUUUUUAAGUAUAUAAAGUGUAACAGAUUUUUGUACCUGUUAGAGAAAUACAGAUUUUUUUUCUUCCAGUUCAUAAAGGACAAAAUACAAGGAAAUGGAGUUUAGCUGGAAAUGAGGAAGUACUUCCUGAGAAUUAAGAUUAAGGGAGCCUCUGGAUUUCAGUGUAUGGUUAAGAAGAGAAUAGACUGGAAUGCAGAGGAAUCAGCUGAAUCUUCACAUUCUCUUUUCAAUUCACUUAAAUUAGGCUCUUACCUCCACUCCUUCCUUGAAACCACUCUCCUGGAAGUCACCAGUGAUCUUCAUGUUGCCAAAUCCACAGUCCUGUUUGUCAGGUUGUUCAGUUCUCUAUCAUCCUGCUUGACCAUCCUCAUGAGCUUCAUCAGCACAAACAAAACUCCCUUCUGGGACAUAUUCCUAAAACUCUACAGUCCUCUGGCUCUCCUUCUAUCCCACUGUGGCUCCUUUUUCGUCUUCCAACAUCUUAAUUUGGGUCUAGGAUUUCAUUUUUCUAUCUGUACUCAUUUCCUUAUUGACUUUAUCCAACCUCAUGGCUUACCAGAUACCAUCUAAAUGCUGUUGACCCUCAAAUUCACAUCUCUAAUAUAGACCUCUGCCUUGAGUUUCAGCAUUAUACGUGUCUAAAACCAAGCUCUUGAUCUUCUUCCUACCCCAUAUCUGUUCUGCCACCCCAGUCUUUCUUAUCUUAGUUAAUGGUAACCUCAUCCUUUUACUUGCUCAGGUGAGAAACCUUGGGAUCAUCCUUGACUACUUCCUCUCAUGCUCUGCUUAUAUCCCGCUCAUCAUCAAAUCUCACCUUGGCCACACCUUUGGAACAGAUCCAGUAUAUAUGACUGCUUCUUACCGCCCACAUUUACCACCCCAAUCUAAACUGUCAUCAUCUCUUUCCUGGUUUGUUGCAAUAGCUUCUUAGUAGCUUCUUGCUUUCACUCUUACCCCUCCUACAGCCUAUUCCCAGCACUUUCUUCAAAGAACCCGAAGGAUCCUGUUGAAAGCAUUGAAAAUGUCUGAGAGGCGGCCGUGCAGGAGAAUUAGAUGGAAGGACGCAUUCAACUGGAUUGGGGAGUCAAAUCAGCAAAACAGGGCAUGCUACACAAUACACAGAAUGGACAUUGGAACUGGGCAUGGAGAAGGUGAUGUGAAGGCACAUUUGGAAGCCGAAUCCCACCAGUUUGGGCUGAGAUCCGCGAGUACUUCUAAGUCAAUGAAAAGUUUUCUCAUCUCCCCAAAAGAGAUCAAUAAUCAGUUGGAAAUAGCUGCUGCUGAACAAUCUUAGACAUACCACACGAAUGAAUAUGCAUUAUGGUUUUAUUCCCUGUUGCUCUAUGCAGCUUACAUUUUCUGAUUCACAGGUUACAGUAAUGCACCCUUGUGGGCAAACAAGGAAACCUAAAUGCCAGAUACAUUUGCCCCUUAUGGUAUAGAGCUAAUUCUCUCAGGUCUCUGCAACCAUCCUGCUGUCCGUAGCACAUCAGAUCAAAUGUUCUGCUCAGCUGUAUUUUGAUUUAUAAUUAAAAUUUUGAAUCAUCUUCUUGAUUUGUGUGAAGAUUUUAAUGAAAUCUGAAGACAACAAAAAAGGCACAAAGAUUGUUGACAUCUCAUUCUACUUUGCUUACUUGUUUGCAGAUCCAGGAUAGUUCAAAUGUAAAUUUUGGAAGUUCCAUUCAAUCUACAAACUUCUCACCAAAGAAACUGAAAUGAUCUUACCUAUUAAAUGCCUACAUGCCUCAUACACAUACUCUUUUAAAAAAAAGCAUUUAAAAACAGAAGCAGUGUGAUUGUUUACCUAUGAAAUUGAGGCUUUCAUAAUCCAAGUUUUGAGUCACUUUUCCAUUUCCUCAAAAUGUGCAGAAGCAUUUAAUGAGAUGUUUGAAUUUAUAGCAAUGCAGGGAGAGAGCCUCCUAAGCAUCUUUGCCUUACAAGAUGAUGGUCAUUGUUGUCAGUAUAAAAUGAUACUAACGAAUUGGCCGGGUGUAAAAUCGUAUUUUCAAGUGUUGUGGGACAAAAGGAAUGUCCUUCUCUAAUUUGGAGUAACACUGAAGAUGAGAACGGAGGGAAAAGGACAGUAAAACAGACAUUUAUAUGCUGUUUCUUCAGAAGUUUUUAGUGAUCUUUGAUGAAGCCCUAAGAAGCCUAUGAAAGGAUAAAGUGACUGAAUCUGAGUCAUUUAGUGUUAUAUAUAGGUUGUGGCAAAAACUCAUAUGGUAAUAAAAUGACUCCUUUUUGGAAA